Long non-coding RNA from Anthonomus grandis grandis, 935 nucleotides. RefSeq lists it as uncharacterized. The record is from RefSeq and is a predicted model, not a curated record. The transcript has 4 exons. NCBI's taxonomy places the organism in Eukaryota, Metazoa, Arthropoda, Insecta, Coleoptera, Curculionidae.
GCAAUCCUUGAUGUACUUCUACGUAGUAGGAAUCCUUGAAUUCUUGCUAAACAGCAGGAAUCCUUGAUCUAUUCUAGACAGUAGGAAUCCUUGAAUUCUUGCUAAAAAGCAGGAAUCCUUGAACUAUUCUAGACAGUAGGAAUCCUUCAAUCCUUGCUAAGAUGAGGAAUCCUUGGUCUACUUCUAGGCGCCAUAGCAAUCCUUGAUGUACUUCAACGUAGUAGGAAUCCUUGAAUUCUUGCUAAACAGCAGGAAUCCUUGAACUAUUCUAGACAGUAGGAAUCCUUGAAUCCUUGCUAAGAUGGGGAAUCCUUGGUCUACUUCCAGGCAGUAGGAAUCCUUGAACUCCUACUGUACAAUAGAUUUUUUUUUAAUUUAUUUUUUACCGCCAUAGCAAUCCUUGAUGUACUUCUACGUAGUAGGAAUCCUUGAAUUCUUGCUAAACAGCAGGAAUCCUUGAUCUAUUCUAGACAGUAGGAAUUCUUGAAUUCUUGCUAAGAUGAGGAAUCCUUGGUCUACUUCCAGGCACCAUAGCAAUCCUUGAUGUACUUCUACGUAGUAGGAAUCCUUGAAUUCUUCCUAAACAGCAGGAAUCCUUGAUCUAUUCUAGACAGUAGGAAUCCUUGAAUCCUUGCUAAGAUGAGGAAUCCUUGGUCUACUUCUAGGCGGUAGGAAUCCUUGAACUCCUACUGUACAACAGAUUUUUUUUUAAUUUAUUUUUUACAACCAUAGCAAUCCUUGAUGUACUUCUACGUACUGGGAAUCCUUGGAUUCUUGCUAAUUAGCAAGAAUCCUUGAUAUACUUCUAAACAGAUACCUUGAACCGAGUCUUGUGACUUAUUUAAUUAGGUUAUGUCAAAAAAAAUGUCUUCCAAAAAAAAACAACGACGCAUCGCAUUAUGCAACCGCGUUUCCGGAAUCAUCUGGGCGAAAAA